CCCCCAUCACUUCCUGCUGUCAAACUCAAGUGGCUGCUUUUUUGAGAAGGCCCCACAGCCCAUGGGGGGCUGGGGACAGGGGUGUUGGAGCAUUUCCCCUGAGCGGUGGGACCGGCCCGGGUCCCAGCUGGAAUGUCCCAGGAUGGCAGAGCCUGGAGAGUUCUCCCAGGUCCCCAGCUCACAGCCCGCUCCCCCCACCCAGGUCCCAGGGGUGCCAAACACACUCGCUAAUCCUGCGGAAAGACAGGAAGAAGCCGGUGUUCAGGAACACCUUGAGGGGCGUGGAGGGCUUCCGCGUGAUGGUCCCCGACUACAGCGCCAGCGUGGUCUACCUGCGCCUGGGCCGGGCCGGCCGGACCACCAGGACCCUGCUGCUGUUCAGCAGACAGCCCACGUGCAGCUUCCUGAGCAUGAGAAAGUUCAUCAACGCAUGUGAGGCCCUGGGGCUCGCCAGCCGUGUGGCCGUGCUCCCGAAAGACGCCUCCUGCGCGCACACCAUCCUGCCAUGAGCUGGCCACCCACCUGCUCCUCCCCAUGAGGCUCGGCUUGUGGUCCUCCCAGACCCCGGGAGCGAGUUCCAGAUUGUAGGCUGCACACCCUGCUGCUUGUUGAGACGGGUCUGGAGACCCCAGGCCACUGAUGGUGUGGAGCUUGGGUGGGCGUGGGCCCAGCAGGGUCCUUUAGGGUCUCCCGGGUGGGG
This 700-nucleotide long non-coding RNA is filed under the name Ovis aries (sheep). RNAcentral's name for it is "lncRNA (ENSOARG00000025927.1)". The record is from RNAcentral. Lineage: Eukaryota; Metazoa; Chordata; Mammalia; Artiodactyla; Bovidae.